RNAcentral lists this transfer RNA (84 nucleotides) under Phycisphaerales bacterium. Its description in RNAcentral is "tRNA-Leu". It matches the Rfam family "tRNA". Rfam says of the family: Transfer RNA (tRNA) molecules are approximately 80 nucleotides in length. Their secondary structure includes four short double-helical elements and three loops (D, anti-codon, and T loops). Lineage: Bacteria; Pseudomonadati; Planctomycetota; Phycisphaerae; Phycisphaerales. The record is from RNAcentral.
GCGGCUGUGGCGGAAUUGGCAGACGCGCUAGACUUAGGAUCUAGUUGGGGAGACCCAGUGGAGGUUCGAGUCCUCUCAGCCGCA